This 253-nucleotide ribosomal RNA is filed under the name uncultured bacterium. RNAcentral's name for it is "partial 16S ribosomal RNA". It matches the Rfam family "Bacterial small subunit ribosomal RNA", at positions 524 to 776 of the family's 1533-position model. The record is from RNAcentral.
UACGGAGGGUGCGAGCGUUGUCCGGAAUCAUUGGGUUUAAAGGGUGCGUAGGUGGCCUUCUAAGUCAGCGGUGAAAUCCAGGGGCUCAACCCCUGGCGUGCCGUUGAUACUGGAUGGCUUGAGUGUCGCAGGGGCAGGCGGAAUUUGUGGUGUAGCGGUGAAAUGCAUAGAUACCACAAGGAACACCGGAGGCGAAGGCGGCCUGCUGGGCGAUCACUGACACUGAUGCACGAAAGCAUGGGUAGCGAACAGG